RNAcentral lists this long non-coding RNA (707 nucleotides) under Marmota monax (woodchuck). Lineage: Eukaryota; Metazoa; Chordata; Mammalia; Rodentia; Sciuridae. The record is from RNAcentral.
GUUGUUACUAAAUCUGUAGCAUAGGAACUAUGGUCGGCUGAUAGGUUGCCAUGAUAAUGCUCAUUUAAAUCAAGACCCUCUGCAAACUGAGGAGACAGCUUGCUUGAGCUGCCAGGCACUCCUACAUCUUCCCCUUUGCCAUGUGGGACUUCAGAGGGAUCUGUGCUGCAGAAGAGACCUGGCUUUCAUUAGCUUCUGAGGAAUGUGUAUGUACAUCUAAGGCAACUGACAGUGAUUGGAUUUUUUUUAAGAAAGAAUUUUAAUAUUUUUUAGUUUUAAGCUGACACAACAUCUUUGUAUGUGGUGCUGAGGGUCGAACCCGGGCCACACGCAAGCCAGGCGAGCGAGCGUGCUACCGCUUGAGCCACAUCCCCAGCCCUGAUUGGAUUUUUUAUAGCGAGACCCUGUCUUCCUUCCACUCCCUGAAGUAGACCUACCUCGUCUUGCCUGGAUUCCUGAUCUAGCAUUUAUUUCAAGCUACAAAGCCUUGGAAUAGUUAUAUGGCAAUACCCCAUAGAGCCUGACAGAUGGUAAGAUACUCAGUAAAUAUUGGUAUAUUGAUACAUAUGAAUGGGCUGGGUUGUGGUUCAGUGGUAAAGCACUUCACUAAACGUGAAACAAUGGGUUUGAUCCUCAGCACCAUAUAAAUAAAGGUAUUGUGUCCAUCUACAAUACAAAAAAAGUGAAUCAGUUUGGCUACAGCAGGG